Molecule: long non-coding RNA, 1120 nt
Organism: Passer domesticus (house sparrow)
Lineage: Eukaryota; Metazoa; Chordata; Aves; Passeriformes; Passeridae
Exons: 3
Source: RefSeq, a predicted model, not a curated record
GGGACAAGAUGGUUAUCAUUAAAAAGGAGGAGAAAAGCUCAAGGUCCCUUCUCACCUGAGAAAUUAUCAACUUCACAAAGGAUUUUUGUCUCUCCAGCCUAACUUGUAUUGUGGAGUUUGCUGACACAGGAAGCUGUGGAAGCCAGAAGUAACAGUAGUUUCAAAAGAAUUAGACCAACUCAUGGACAAUGUGCUGACUUUUUCUUUUUGAUAGUUAAAACCUCAGUCAGAACUACUGAGCAAGACCUUUCACAGAUUUGCUCUGCCUCAGGAGCUGUGCCACAAGGAAAAGACUUUUCUCCUCUACCUACAAGGAGAGAGGCAGCAACAAAGAGGUGCUUUGCAUCUUCUUUCUUUGCCAGUCAGCCAGAGGAAAACAUCCGAAGUGGGAACCACCAUGAAGUACUUGAGACAGCUGUUUCAGGGAAACAGCUUGUCUGGACCUGAUAAUAGGAGCUCUGUUUAUAUUCUCUUUUUCGUUAUUGAAACCACCAGUUCACUGGGUGGCUUAGACAAACUGAGUAGGUUCAUCAAAAGACAGUGAGAUGGUUUUGGAGGUCUUGAACAGGUCUUGAACUCCAACCAACUUUACUGUACUGCUAAAUAGGAGUAAAGUCUCAACUAAAUAGAAAGCUUCUUUUAAAAAACAUGGAUAUAGCAAAGGAAACGUUGCUGUGAGCUGAGACUCACUGUCUUCCUUAUUAGGACCAGCAGAAGCUAUUAAAUGAGAUAUAUUAUCUAUAUCUCUCUAGGCCUAUAACAGUUAAGUCAGAGACAAAUGUUGUGCUGUGACCACAGUAUUCUGCACCAGUAGAAUAUUAUAACUAAUAUCCUACCUGUGACUUUAUUUACAGUGAAACAUUAUUCUGAAAAUGAAGUGAAAAGUGUGGAAGAAACAGUAGAGCUGACAAUUAGUAAAUAAAACUCUAGUAUUUUACGAUAUCUAUAUUCUGUAAUAUAUUUGUCCUUAUGCUUCAGCCACUUAGCUGUGACAAUAAAAAUUGCAUGAAGCUUCAUUACCAUAAUAGCGUAAAUUUGCCAGGUGCUUGACAACAAUUCCAAGGCUUGUGUCUGCAGACUGCAAGUCUUCAUGGAAGUCACCAGGUGUGAGAGAUUUUGA